RNAcentral lists this ribosomal RNA (645 nucleotides) under Coptotriche badiiella. Its description in RNAcentral is "SSU rRNA". It matches the Rfam family "Eukaryotic small subunit ribosomal RNA", at positions 81 to 708 of the family's 1831-position model. Lineage: Eukaryota; Metazoa; Arthropoda; Insecta; Lepidoptera; Tischeriidae. The record is from RNAcentral.
GCGAUACCGCGAAUGGCUCAAUAUAUCAGUUUUGGUUCCUUAGAUCUUACUCAGUUACUUGGAUAACUGUGGCAAUUCUAGAGCUAAUACAUGCAAUCAGAACUCUGACCAGUGAUGGAAUGAGUGCUUUUAUUAGAUCAAAACCAAUCGACGGGGACGUUCGCGUUCGAAGUCGUUCAUUUUGAUGAAUCUGGAUAACUUUUGCAGAUCGCAUGGUCUCGUACCGGCGACGCAUCUUUCAAUGUCUGCCUUAUCAACUUUCGAUGGUAGUUUCUGCGACUACCAUGGUUGUCACGGGUAACGGGGAAUCAGGGUUCGAUUCCGGAGAGGGAGCCUGAGAAACGGCUACCACAUCCAAGGAAGGCAGCAGGCGCGCAAAUUACCCACUCCGGCACGGGGAGGUAGUGACGAAAAAUAACGAUACGGGACUCUUACGAGGCCUCGUAAUCGGAAUGAGUACACUUUAAAUAUUUUAACGAGGAACAAUUGGAGGGCAAGUCUGGUGCCAGCAGCCGCGGUAACUCCAGCUCCAAUAGCGUAUACUAAAAUUGUUGCGGUUAAAAAGCUCGUAGUUGCAUUUGUGCGCHGCGCUGUCGGUGCCUCCGCGGUGAUACUGACACGUUUGCGGAGCAUAUCGUCGGUGAG